CCAGUGCCACAAAGCAAACUGCUACACAGCAUUCCAUGUGACGUGUGCCCAGAAGGCUGGCCUGUACAUGAAAAUGGAGCCCGUGAAGGAACUGACUGGCGGUGGCACCACCUUCUCCGUCAGAAAGACCGCUUACUGUGAUGUCCACACGCCUCCAGGCUGCACCCGGAGGCCUCUGAAUAUUUACGGGGAUGUCGAAAUGAAAAAUGGCGUCUGUCGAAAAGAGAGCUCGGUUAAAACGGUCAGGUCCACAUCCAAGGUCAGGAAGAAGGCAAAAAAGGCUAAGAAAGCUGUGGCUGAGCCCUGCGCGGUCCUGCCGACCGUGUGCGCUCCUUAUAUUCCCCCACAGAGGUUCAUGAGAAUGCAAAGUAGAAAGUGUCUUAAAAGAGACCGUGAUCAGCAGGCAGAUGGCCUGUGUCGGUUCCUUUGACUGCUUCAGGUCUUCCAGGACGAGCUCCCCUACUACGAGAGCCUGGACUUCAGCCUCACGGACAAGAGCCUCAGAUAGGCAAGGCUUU
Molecule: small RNA, 518 nt
Filed under: Pan troglodytes (chimpanzee)
Lineage: Eukaryota; Metazoa; Chordata; Mammalia; Primates; Hominidae
Description: processed transcript
Source: RNAcentral